CAUGGCUCAGAACGAACGCUGGCGGCGUGCUUAACACAUGCAAGUCGAACGCGAAAGGGGUUUCGUUCCUGAGUAGAGUGGCGCACGGGUGAGUAACGCGUAAGUGAUCUACCCCUGUAUUUGGGAUAACUAUGGGAAACUGUAGCUAAUACCGGAUACGUUCAUGUAAUUGCGGUUAUGUGAAGAAAGAUGGCCUCUGACUUAAGCUAUUGUACAGGGAGGAGCUUGCGUACCAUUAGCUAGUUGGUAGGGUAAUGGCCUACCAAGGCAACGAUGGUUAGCGGGUCUGAGAGGAUGAUCCGCCACACUGGAACUGAAACACGGACCAGACUCCUACGGGAGGCAGCAGUGAGGAAUAUUGCGCAAUGGGGGCAACCCUGACGCAGCGACGCCGCGUGGAUGAUGAAGGCCUUCGGGUCGUAAAAUCCUGUCGGAUGGGAAGAAGUGUUAUGUGGCUAA
Molecule: ribosomal RNA, 459 nt
Filed under: uncultured bacterium
Lineage: Bacteria
Description: bacterial SSU rRNA
Rfam family: Bacterial small subunit ribosomal RNA
Source: RNAcentral